This 253-nucleotide ribosomal RNA is filed under the name uncultured bacterium. Its description in RNAcentral is "partial 16S ribosomal RNA". It matches the Rfam family "Bacterial small subunit ribosomal RNA", at positions 524 to 776 of the family's 1533-position model. The record is from RNAcentral.
UACGAAGGGGGCUAGCGUUGCUCGGAAUCACUGGGCGUAAAGCGCACGUAGGCGGCUUUCUAAGUCAGGGGUGAAAUCCUGGAGCUCAACUCCAGAACUGCCUUUGAUACUGAGGAUCUUGAGUCCGGGAGAGGUGAGUGGAACUGCGAGUGUAGAGGUGAAAUUCGUAGAUAUUCGCAAGAACACCAGUGGCGAAGGCGGCUCACUGGCCCGGUACUGACGCUGAGGCACGAAAGCGUGGGGAGCAAACAGG